CAGCAGUGGGGAAUAUUGCACAAUGGGCGCAAGCCUGAUGCAGCCAUGCCGCGUGUGUGAAGAAGGCCUUCGGGUUGUAAAGCCAUUUCAGUUGUGAGGAAGGUGGUGUCGUUAAUAGCGGCAUCAUUUGACGUUAGCAACAGAAGAAGCACCGGCUAACUCCGUGCCAGCAGCCGCGGUAAUACGGAGGGUGCGAGCGUUAAUCGGAAUUACUGGGCGUAAAGCGCAUGCAGGUGGUUUGUUAAGUCAGAUGUGAAAGCCCGGGGCUCAACCUCGGAACUGCAUUUGAAACUGGCAGACUAGAGUACUGUAGAGGGGGUAGAAUUUCAGGUGUAGCGGUGAAAUGCGUAGAGAUCUGAAGGAAUACCGGUGGCGAAGGCGGCCCCCUGGACAGAUACUGACACUCAGAUGCGAAAGCGUGGGGAGCAAACAGGAUUAGAUACCCUGGUAG
This 451-nucleotide ribosomal RNA is filed under the name uncultured bacterium. RNAcentral describes it as "bacterial SSU rRNA". It matches the Rfam family "Bacterial small subunit ribosomal RNA", at positions 349 to 793 of the family's 1533-position model. The record is from RNAcentral.